Molecule: long non-coding RNA, 494 nt
Filed under: Phoenix dactylifera (date palm)
Lineage: Eukaryota; Viridiplantae; Streptophyta; Magnoliopsida; Arecales; Arecaceae
Description: long non-coding RNA (PDAC_LNC008581)
Source: RNAcentral
CAACCGAGAACACCACCCCCCCGAUCCCAGCCGUUAACAAAGUCCCAAGCUACCCAUCCCGUGUCUGCAGAUUAAGCAUCACGGAAGAGCUCUUCUUCCGGAUUCCUUCCACGUCCACGAACCAAGUCACAAUCUUCUUCCGAACUCCCAGAUUUCCUCUCGUUUUGGAAUAACUCCAUUCCGUUUACAUGCUGUUCGUAACCCAUUCUUAUCCCACAGAUCAGCUCCAUCCUUGCAAGCUUCACGGCAUCCAGCUUAUCCCCUGCAUCCAAGAGAAUCCACCCUUCAUCCCGUUGUGAUUCAUCCUCACCCGUGAGCCAUAUCCUCCUUCCGGAUCACAUCUCCCAGCAUCUCAACAUUCCGAGAUCCUCCCAAACGAAACAAUGUUCAUCCACAACGUCCCAGCCAACAAAUCCUCUUCCGGAUUCCUCUGUUUCGGGAUUAAUUCCAGCCGAGACCCAUCCGGAUUUGCUCCCAACUUCACGUGAGCUUCA